ACAACACAAACCCAGUAGGGAACAUUAGUGCCACCAGGGUCCUGGAACAAUGACUCGGCACCUCUUGUUUUCAAGGGUGGGUAAUAAGAAAAUAAAGUUGCUUUCUCCUCCCCUGUCCACCCACAAGAAAUAUCGGCUGCUUUUCUCCAGGGUAAAUAUGGCAUGUUCUCUAUUUAAUUCUAGAAUGUAAGCGCCACGAGGGCAGGAAAUUUUUAUCUCGUUUGUUUUGUUCACUGAUGUAUCCCCAGUGCCUUGGCACUGAAUAGCCACUCGGUAAACUUCUGAUGAAUAAAUGAAUGACUGGAUGGAUUCUGUUUGUUAUUGCUUCCGCACAGUUCUUUGAGGAUUUGGGGGUUGAGACUAGCCUUCUGUUACUGGCUGGAGUAUUUUUUAUUCUUUAAAAUGCCUUUUAGAAAUGUUUCCCUGGCAUCCCUCGUGGUGCUGCAAAGUAUAAGUAGACCCAUGUGACGAAGAAGAAGCCCUUGUCCAGUGACCCUUGAAAGAGCCGUAGCUUAGGCAUCAGUCUCUGUGUACCACCUUUGUGGCCAGGCCCAAGAGGUCAGGGGCACGGACACAGGCAGAGCAGGACAGGGAUGAAGCUGCGUCUAGGAGCUAGGCUGUAGAACUCACAUUCCUUUGCUGGGGGUCCCAUUUGGCUGCCUUCCAGGGCACAGGGAAAGGUGUGUCUGCUGGGAGGUGGGGCAGGCAGCACCACACACAGGCAGAUGUGGAUGUUUAGUAAACCACUGGAGUUUGCUCUGCAGGGGAAGGGUAGAACCAAACAUGUUUACAACCUCGCUGCUCUGACCCUCCCUCUUGCUCGGGAACCAAAAUGGAGGUCUGCUCUCAGGAAAGAAAAGUUCUGGACAGAGAUCAGGCAACUGAAGGAAGCUAAAAGAACGCCUGGGUCCAGUUUGCAGAUGGAAAUCCUGCUUGAUGUGCCCAUGAAACAGUCAAGGACAAGGUUGGGGGUACAUGGGGCAUCUCACCCCUAAGCUCAGUGCUUAGAAAGACAGUGUUCUUGUUUUUUGCUUUGGAUUUGACAAAAAGGUUUGGAGGACCCUGUCCUGCAGAGACCAAAUGCUCUAGGCAUGGAAUUAUCUGGAUAGGUGGACCAACUCUUUAGCUGCACGUCUUCCUUUGCCCAGUUUCCCAAGAUGAACCAUCCCUGUACACUGAUUCUGUUGUUGCUCUUUCAUCCACCCACCCCCUGCCCUAGCUAGAGCCCCACCUUCCAGAGGAGACCACAAAGUUCCCCCAGGGGCCAGGCACUGCCAUAAUCAGUGUCAUAAUCUGCCUCUAAUUCACCAAGAUGAAGCUUACCAAGAUGAGACUAGAUGAGCCCCAAGCCAGUUUUCCUUGGAUCUUCCUAAGGACUUUACCCAAGGCCGAUAUGACCUAGAGCUUAAGAGGGCUGGGGAAAAGAACAAAACAAAUGCUAAAGCUGGGUUCUAACCUUCAAGAGCAACUUGUCUGAGUAUGUAGUGGCUUGACGCUUGCUCUAUGAGCUUUUCUAUUGGCCAUUUUCCCCAUUCUUUGAAUCAAGGAGCUGCUAGUGGGGGUGGUGGUGACAGUGGGAUGGCGCUGGCAUUGGUGUAUUGGUUUAAGGCACUACAUUUUUUGGGAAGGACAGAAAUCAUGAAGUUAAAAGGAGGAACAGCGUUCAGCUCCCCAAGUCAACAGCCGGUGCCCAGGCCCCUGUCCUCCUGUGCACCUAUCUGCAGCCCCCACGUCUCCUGUUUGCCAUCGAUGCCAUCCCAUUGGAUUAAAUGAGGCCUUCUUUCUUCACGUCUGCCACCCAGUUCCCAGUAGGAUGCUUCCAACAGUUCAAAGUGUUGUUACAUGAAAGAAGAAAGAGAUUUGAACCUUAUGAGCUCUGAAGGCAGAGCUAGGUUCAAUGGAAAACAGGGAGGCAGAUUUCAAAUAAAUAACAGGAAGAAUUUUCUAUCAAGGAGGGGCAGUGGGAAGACUAUGGACUCUGCAGCGAAACCAACUCAGGUUCAAAUUCUGAUGCUGCUCUUAAUAGAUCUGUGAUCAUGGGAAAAUUACUUUCCCUCUCUGUGCCUUUGUUUCCUCUAGAAAAAUGGAGAGAAUGCCUCCUCAACAGGACUCUUUUUGGAUUAGAGCUCAAGCCACUCACUGGCCCCAUCCCCAUUGUUGGCUCUAUGAACCACAGCAAUUGUGUCCAGCAGCAAAAGCCAUCCAAGGUGGAGUUGAGACAUCCCUGAGGCCCUGCAUCUGCAUGAGUGGAUGUCUCCACACCUCAAGAGGCAAGCACAGAGAUUCCAGAGACUUGCCCAAGGUCACACAGCAGUAAGUGCCAAAGUGAAGGUUGGAAUUUGGGUCUGCCUCCAUAGCCUGUAAUUUUGUCACUGUGCUGGCUGGAUUUAAAAGAGCAUUUCCCCAUAUUAGAUGUCAAGGCUGGUGAUGGUGAGGCAAAUUACACAGGUUGGGAGGCAAAGGGGAGUUAGUUGCUAAUCCAACUCCAGUACUCAAAAGUGUGUCCCAGACCAUCCUCUUCAACAGCACCUGGGAACUUGUUGAAAAUGCAGAAACCCAGGCCUCACCCCAGGCCUAUAGAAUGAGAAUCUGUAUCCUAACACCCCCCACCCCAGGGAACUGGCAUGCACUUUAACAUUUGAGAAGCUAAAUUUGAGAACCUUAGAACUGGUUCUCAAAUUUAGCUACACAUUGGUAUCACUUAGAAAGUUUUAACUACUGAUAUGUAGUCCCACUCCCCAGCUGUUCUGACAGGUCCAGGGUGCAGCUUGGAUACUGGGAUUUUUAAAUACUCCCUCGGGUGAUUCUAAAGUGUGGCCACAUUUGAGAACUAUUGUCCUACAGCGGGGUCAGCAAACUGGUCUGUUGGCCAAAGCAGCCUGUUUUUGUAUGACCCACAAGCUAAGAAUGGGUUUUACAUUUUUAAACAGUUGAGAAAAAAUCAAUUAAAGACUAUAGGAUGAUAUGUGAAAAUUAUAUGAAAUUUAAAUUUCAGUCCCCAUAAAAUAAAGUUUGACUGGAAGACAGUGAUGUUCAUUCACUUCCAUGUCUAUGGUCUAUGGCUGCUUUGGUGCUACAAAGGCACAGUUGAGUAAUUACAACUGAAUAGUUUAAAGUACUUAAUAGUUACUAUCUGGCUCUUUACAGAAAAAGUUUGUCAAUCCCUGUUCUAGAGAAUUUAUGAAUAGCUAGGAUAAUAACCAUGACUGACUAAUUGAUCUGACUUUAUUUGU
RNAcentral lists this long non-coding RNA (3233 nucleotides) under Homo sapiens (human). RNAcentral describes it as "HSALNT0389577". The record is from RNAcentral. Lineage: Eukaryota; Metazoa; Chordata; Mammalia; Primates; Hominidae.